UCUAAUAUGGCAGAUUAGUGUAAUGAAUUUAAGCUUCAUAUAUAAAGUUUAAAACUUUUAUUAGAA
Molecule: transfer RNA, 66 nt
Filed under: Haliplus lineatocollis
Lineage: Eukaryota; Metazoa; Arthropoda; Insecta; Coleoptera; Haliplidae
Description: tRNA-Leu
Source: RNAcentral